UGCCAGCAGCCGCGGUAAUACGGAGGGGGCGAGCGUUAUUCGGAAUUACUGGGCGUAAAGGGUGCGUAGGCGGCCCAUCAAGUUAGACGUGAAAGCCCCGGGCUCAACCUGGGAAUUGCAUUCCAAACUUGCGGACUAGAGGACAGGAGGGGGAAGUGGAACUCCAGGUGGAGCGGUGAAAUGCGUAGAUAUCUGGAGGAACACCGGUGGCGAAAGCGACUACCUGGCCUGUCCCUGACGCUGAGGCGCGAAAGCGUGGGUAGCAAACAGGAUUAGAUA
Molecule: ribosomal RNA, 279 nt
Filed under: uncultured bacterium
Lineage: Bacteria
Description: partial 16S ribosomal RNA
Rfam family: Bacterial small subunit ribosomal RNA
Source: RNAcentral